GACGAACGCUGGCGGCGUGCCUAAUACAUGCAAGUAGAACGCUGAAGGAGGAGCUUGCUUCUCUGGAUGAGUUGCGAACGGGUGAGUAACGCGUAGGUAACCUGCCUGGUAGCGGGGGAUAACUAUUGGAAACGAUAGCUAAUACCGCAUAAUAUUGACUAUUGCAUGAUAGUCAGUUGAAAGGUGCAACUGCACCACUACCAGAUGGACCUGCGUUGUAUUAGCUAGUUGGUGGGGUAACGGCUCACCAAGGCGACGAUACAUAGCCGACCUGAGGGGGGGAUCGGCCACACUGGGACUGAGACACGGCCCAGACUCCUACGGGAGGCAGCAGUAGGGAAUCUUCGGCAAUGGACGGAAGUCUGACCGAGCAACGCCGCGUGAGUGAAGAAGGUUUUCGGAUCGUAAAGCUCUGUUGUAAGAGAAGAACGAGUGUGAGAGUGGAAAGCUCACACUGUGACGGUAUCUUACCAGAAAGGGACGGCUAACUACGUG
RNAcentral lists this ribosomal RNA (495 nucleotides) under uncultured bacterium. RNAcentral's name for it is "partial 16S ribosomal RNA". It matches the Rfam family "Bacterial small subunit ribosomal RNA", at positions 28 to 507 of the family's 1533-position model. The record is from RNAcentral.